UAGAUUGGGGACCAGUCUAUUUAUUCCCCAGCCACCCUAUAACUAGAAUAUGCCCAUUUGGAUAAAGCAAUCUUGAUGUGUAUAUAUAACUCAGAACCUCCUUUAGUGGCCCUUAAUCUUUCUUUGCAGAACACUUGAGCAAUGGGGAAUUCUCUCUGUCUCUCCUUCUCCUCCAAGAACAACAAAGCAUUGCCCAUAGACACAAUUUUCAAGCUUCCCUCUCCAACACCUGCUUGGCCACCAGGUGGAGGAUUUGGAAGUGGAAUCAUUGAUCUAGGAGGCCUCCAAGUCUAUCAGACUUCAACUUUCAAAAAAGUUUGGGCUACCUAUGAAGGGGGACCAGAUGACCUUGGUGCAACAUUUUUUAAACCUCACCUGAUUCCAGAUGGAUUUUCCGUUCUCGGUUUCUACAGCCAACCCAACAACCUGCCACUUUUUGGGUAUGUUCUUGUUGGAAAAGACGUGGAAGAAAAAAAUGUCUCACCUACUCUAAAGAAGCCAAUUGACUACACUCUAGUUUGGAGUAGCUCAUCGCUGAAAAAAAUCAAGAAAACUGGCCAUGGCUACAUUUGGUUACCAAUGCCACCAGAUGGCUACGAAGCUGUUGGUCAUGUGGUCACCACCUCACCAGACAAGCCUUCCCUUGAAAAAAUCCGGUGUGUCCGUUCCGACCUAACUGAUCAACCCAAGACCAGUAACUGGAUUUGGGGGCCAGGGACCGAGAGCGAUUCAAAUGGUUUUAAUUUGUAUAGUUUUCAACCUAGCAAUAGGGGGACCAAAGAGCCUGGUGUAUCACUAGGUACAUUUUUUGCCCAAAAUAAUGCCUCAUCCACUUCUUCUACCUUAUCUCUAGCUUGUUUGAAGAACAAUAAAUUUGACUCAUCUUCUAUGCCUAAUCUUGACCAAAUCAAGGAAUUAUUUCAAGCUUAUUCUCCUUUGAUUUACCUUCACCCCAAGGAAACUUACCUCCCCUCUUCUGUGACUUGGUAUUUCAACAAUGGGGCUUUGCUAUAUAAGAAAGGGGAAGAGUCUAACCCUGUUCCCAUUGAUUCAAAUGGCUCCAACCUACCCCAAGGUGGUUCUAAUGAUGGUGCAUAUUGGCUAGACCUUCCAAUGGAUGAUAAUGCUAAAGAAAGAGUCAGAAAAGGGGAUUUACAGAGCUCUGAGGCUUAUUUACACGUAAAGCCCGUGUAUGGUGGCACCUACACCGAUAUAGCUAUAUGGAUUUUCUACCCUUUCAAUGGACCGUCGACUGCUAAACUCGAGCUACUGGACAUCCCACUAGGGAAAGUUGGCGAACAUGUUGGCGAUUGGGAGCAUUUGACACUAAGGAUAAGCAACUUCAAUGGGAUGUUGCACAAGAUGUACUUUUCACAACAUAGUGGAGGAAAAUGGGUUGAUGCUUCGUUGCUCGAGUUUUAUAAGGGCAACAAGCCAGUGGCCUAUUCCUCGUUGAACGGACAUGCAUUGUACGCGAAGCCAGGGCUUGUUUUGCAAGGAAGCGGUGGGAUCGGGAUAAGGAAUGACACGGAUAAGAGUGACAAGGUGAUGGACACGGGAGAAAGGUACUCAGUGGUUGCGGCCGAGUACUUGGGAUCAGAAAUCGUUGAGCCGCCGUGGCUGGACUAUGCUAGGGAAUGGGGUCCCAAGGUUACUUACGAACUUGGGGUCGAGGUCCAGAAGGUGGAGGGCUUAUUGACUGCAGGAAUGAAAUCAACAUUUGAGAGUUUGGUGAAAAUCUUGCCGAAUGAAGUGUAUGGAGAAGAAGGGCCUACUGGCCCAAAGAUGAAAAAGAACUGGUAUGGAGAUGAAGUUUCAAGCUAAGGGGCUAUUGUGAAUGAUUGAAUUUGGCGAGUCGAUGAUAGAGAAGAUGGCAAAAGCAGAAUAAGGUCUCACAUGUGUCCAGUUUGUCCAAUGAUCCUUUCAAUCUCUUCAAGAAGACGCUCCUUUUCUUCUGUCAACUCAUCGUUCAGCUUUUGAAGCUCCUCUAUCUGCUUGGUCUGUUCAGAAUCCUUUCUGGGAUUUUCAAAGACAGAAGAAAAUGUUCAACAAGAGCAGAAAGUUUCAGAUCAUUUUGAUGAGAGAUGGAUGCAUACAUAGAUUGGAACAAAUUUUCGUCAAUCUCCAUGCAAAACACACAUCUAGAGUACCGAUUCAUGAACGACAAGUUAAGUUUGAGUGACCGCACUUCCUUCUCAAGAUUAUCACACCGCUUCAAAAUGGACUGCAUAUCUGAGGGAAUUUGUGGUGUUAGAUUCCUUUCCUUUGCCUCUGCCAUUCUACAUCAACAAAAAAUUCAACAUAAGGUACGGUCUGUGCAAGCUUUUUCCCAGAAAUUGAAGAUAGUAUUACU
Rhododendron vialii is the source of this 2353-nucleotide RNA transcript. RefSeq lists it as hypothetical. NCBI's taxonomy places the organism in Eukaryota, Viridiplantae, Streptophyta, Magnoliopsida, Ericales, Ericaceae. The transcript has 4 exons. The record is from RefSeq and is a predicted model, not a curated record.